CCUACGGGAGGUAGCAGUGAGGAAUAUUGGUCAAUGGGCGCUAGCCUGAACCAGCCAAGUAGCGUGAAGGAUGACUGCCCUAUGGGUUGUAAACUUCUUUUAUAUGGGAAUAAAGUGCAGUAUGUAUACUGCUUUGCAUGUACCUUAUGAAUAAGGAUCGGCUAACUCCGUUCCAACAGCCGCGGUAAAUAGGAGGAUCGGAGCGUUUACCGGAUUUAUUGGGUUUAAAGGGAGCGUAGGCGGGUUGGUAAGUCCGUUGUGAAAGUUUGCGGCUUAAACGUAAAAUUGCAGUUGAUACUGGCAUCCUUGAGUACAGUAGAGGUAGGCGGAAUGCGUGGUGUAGCGGUGAAAUGCUUAGAUAUCACGAAGAACUCCGAUUGCGAAGGCAGCCUGCUGGACUGUAACUGACGCUGAUGCUCGAAAGUGUGGGUAUCAAACAGGAUUAGAUACCCUGGUAGUC
This 460-nucleotide ribosomal RNA is filed under the name uncultured bacterium. RNAcentral's name for it is "partial 16S ribosomal RNA". It matches the Rfam family "Bacterial small subunit ribosomal RNA", at positions 338 to 795 of the family's 1533-position model. The record is from RNAcentral.